Salvelinus namaycush (lake trout) is the source of this 948-nucleotide long non-coding RNA. RefSeq lists it as uncharacterized. The transcript has 4 exons. The record is from RefSeq and is a predicted model, not a curated record. NCBI's taxonomy places the organism in Eukaryota, Metazoa, Chordata, Actinopteri, Salmoniformes, Salmonidae.
AUUAACGUUGGUUGCGAAAUACAGAAGAAGAAGAAUAAGAAGAACAUACAGAAGAAGAGAGAAUAUUUCCACAGCUCCACAAGCUCUUUUCGCGAUUGGCGAAAGCAUCAUAUUUGAAGGUUAAUUCAACAUGAAAAGAAAGGGUGAGAUAUCAGACUUCUGUUCCAAAAGGACCCAAUGACAUUUCAAGAUCCAGAGAACAGGGUCCUGUACAGCUGUAUUUGAAAACAUUUCCCAGAACUCAGCAUGGUACUAGGAAUGGGGCUUUCAACAACUCCUGGUAUAAGGACAAUUCAUGGCUUGAAUAUUCUAGAAACCCUGUCUGCAGAUGAAGAGGUCACAAAGAAUGUCCCAAGAGAGUAAAUGAACAUUGUUGUAUGCCGUGGAUUAUGUGUACCUAUGUUAGCAAAUUUUGUGAACAAAAAUACAAUUUCAAAUCAAAUCAAAUCUUAUUUGUCACAUACACAUGGUUAGCAGAUGUUAAUGCGGGUGUAGCGAAAUGCUUGUGCUUCAAGUUCCGACCAUGCAGUAAUGUCUAACAAGUAUCUAACAAGUAAAAGUCACACAAUGUAUAAACCUAUUACAACUGGAGCAUGCCAACCCCGCUGAGUGUGUACGCUUCUGUUCCAGCCCAAUACUAACACAUCUGAUUCAAUGUAUCAAAACGAAUUAGUUAAUAAUCAAGUGUGCUAUUGCUGGGCUGCAACAGAAGUCUGCUCACCAGUAGAUCAGUGAUCAGUGGAGCGAGGUUGGACACCUCUGGUAUUUACUUUUUUUUGUUCACCUGAAAUUAUUUUACUAAUAAUAGCCUACUUGUUACUAACAUUUUGAACUUCUACAUAUGCGUUAACUUACUUGUACACUUUGAACUUAUAUAAAAUUGUUGAUUCUUUGAAGUUAAGUUAACAAUAAAAAACAGUUUAAAACUUAACUAUUAUUCAAGAUGAA